Molecule: ribosomal RNA, 453 nt
Filed under: uncultured Porphyromonadaceae bacterium
Lineage: Bacteria; Pseudomonadati; Bacteroidota; Bacteroidia; Bacteroidales; Porphyromonadaceae
Description: partial 16S ribosomal RNA
Rfam family: Bacterial small subunit ribosomal RNA
Source: RNAcentral
ACGGGAGGCAGCAGUGAGGAAUAUUGGACAAUGGGGGCAACCCUGAUCCAGCCAAACCGCGUGAGGGAUGAAGGUCCUACGGAUCGUAAACCUCUUUUAUGUGGGAAUAAUUAGCGGAACGUGUUCCGCUUUGAAGGUACCACUUGAAUAAGCAUCGGCUAACUCCGUGCCAGCAGCCGCGGUAAUACGGAGGAUGCGAGCGUUAUCCGGAUUUAUUGGGUUUAAAGGGUGCGUAGGCGGGAUGUUAAGUCAGCGGUGAAAGCGUGUAGCUCAACUAUACCAAGCCGUUGAAACUGGCGUUCUUGAGUGUAAACGAGGUAGGCGGAAUGUGACGUGUAGCGGUGAAAUGCUUAGAUAUGUCACAGAACCCCGAUUGCGAAGGCAGCUUACCAGCAUACAACUGACGCUGAGGCACGAAAGUGCGGGAAUCAAACAGGAUUAGAUACCCUGGUA